Molecule: unclassified non-coding RNA, 166 nt
Filed under: uncultured Helotiaceae
Lineage: Eukaryota; Fungi; Ascomycota; Leotiomycetes; Helotiales; Helotiaceae
Description: sequence contains ITS1
Source: RNAcentral
CAGUGUUCCCUGCCCUUCGGGGUAGGAUCGCCACCCUUGAUUAUUUAUGAAUGUUGCUUUGGCGGGCCUCGCAGCCUAGCCGCGCCCCGGCUUCGGCGGGGGGGCGCCUGCCAGAGGAUUCUACAAACCUGAUUAUUAGUGUCGUCUGAGUACUAUAUAAUAGUUA